ACGCUCGACACCUACGGGGGCAGCAGUGGGGAAUAUUGCACAAUGGGGGAAACCCUGAUGCGGCGACGCCGCGUGGAGGAAGAAGGUCCUCGGAUUGUAAACUCCUGUUGUUGGGGAAAAAGAGGAUGGUACCCAACAAGGAAGUGACGGCUAACUACGUGCCAACAGCCGCGGUAAUCUGAGCGGGCUGGCAAGGC
Molecule: ribosomal RNA, 197 nt
Filed under: uncultured bacterium
Lineage: Bacteria
Description: partial 16S ribosomal RNA
Rfam family: Bacterial small subunit ribosomal RNA
Source: RNAcentral